UGUCGUCGCAGUGAAUCAUCGAAUCUUUGAACGCACCUUGCACUUGUGGAGUCUAUCCACAAGUAUACCUGUUUGAGUAUCAUAAACAUUUAUCCAAGCAAUUGGGAUUUGAGGUUCUUGAAGCAUAUUCAGGUUCCUUUAAAUGCAGCGAAGAAAGGAGUAAAGGCAGUGCUUUGCUCUUGAGUGAGGAUGUUUGCAUUCGUGCAAAAUUAUUCAUGAAAGAACAUUGCGAUGCGUUAUUCAAUCUUUCUUUAAAGCAACAAAUAAUGCACCAUUAUAUUACAGUAUAUUAGUGCCGCUUAUUUGCUUGCAGAACAAAUGUGAUCUCAAAUCAGGCAAGACUACCCGCCGAACUUAAGCAUAUCAAUAAGCGGAGG
RNAcentral lists this ribosomal RNA (377 nucleotides) under uncultured Agaricales. RNAcentral describes it as "eukaryotic LSU rRNA". The stretch from base 322 to 377 matches the Rfam family "Eukaryotic large subunit ribosomal RNA", at positions 1 to 56 of the family's 3401-position model. The record is from RNAcentral. Lineage: Eukaryota; Fungi; Basidiomycota; Agaricomycetes; Agaricales.